GAGUUUGAUUAUGGCUCAGAGUGAACGCUGGCGGCGUGCCUAAUACAUGCAAGUCGAACGGAGAUAUGAGGGCUUGCUCUUAUAUCUUAGUGGCGCACGGGUGAGUAAUGUAUAGCUAAUCUGCCCUACACUAGAGGACAACAGUUGGAAACGACUGCUAAUACUCUAUACUCCUUCUUUACAUAAGUUAAGUCGGGAAAGUUUUUCGGUGUAGGAUGAGGCUAUAUCGUAUCAGCUAGUUGGUGAGGUAAUGGCUCACCAAGGCUAUGACGCGUAACUGGUCUGAGAGGAUGAUCAGUCACACUGGAACUGAGACACGGUCCAGACUCCUACGGGAGGCAGCAGUAGGGAAUAUUGCUCAAUGGGGGAAACCCUGAAGCAGCAACGCCGCGUGGAGGAUGACACUUUUCGGAGCGUAAACUCCUUUUCUUGGGAAAGAAUUAUGACGNACCCAAGGAAUAAGCACCGCA
Molecule: ribosomal RNA, 470 nt
Filed under: Campylobacter sp. canine oral taxon 011
Lineage: Bacteria; Pseudomonadati; Campylobacterota; Epsilonproteobacteria; Campylobacterales; Campylobacteraceae
Description: bacterial SSU rRNA
Rfam family: Bacterial small subunit ribosomal RNA
Source: RNAcentral